UGGGGGAUAUUGCACAAUGGGGGAAACCCUGAUGCAGCGAUGCCGCGUGGAGGAAGAAGGUUUUCGGAUUGUAAACUCCUGUCGUAAGGGAAGAGAAAGGACUGUACCUUACAAGAAAGCUCCGGCUAACUACGUGCCAGCAGCCGCGGUAAUACGUAGGGAGCGAGCGUUGUCCGGAAUGACUGGGUGUAAAGGGAGCGUAGGCGGGAUGGCAAGUCAGAUGUGAAAACUGAGGGCUCAACCUUCAGACUGCAUUUGAAACUGCUGUUCUUGAGUGAGGUAGAGGUAAGCGGAAUUCCUGGUGUAGCGGUGAAAUGCGUAGAGAUCAGGAGGAACAUCGGUGGCGAAGGCGGCUUACUGGGCCUUUACUGACGCUGAGGCUCGAAAGCGUGGGGAGCAAACGGGAUUAGAUACCCUGGUAGU
Molecule: ribosomal RNA, 423 nt
Filed under: uncultured Ruminococcus sp.
Lineage: Bacteria; Bacillati; Bacillota; Clostridia; Eubacteriales; Oscillospiraceae
Description: bacterial SSU rRNA
Rfam family: Bacterial small subunit ribosomal RNA
Source: RNAcentral